UAGCUGCUUCUUUGGUUCUCCAUCGACGGGUUUCGCUACCGAUUCCUUUGGUAAAGAGAGACCACUUUUUACACAACCAGGUAUCUCAUGAACAUUCAACCUAUCUCGCUCUGUAGGGUGACAUUCAUCUUGAGUGGUUCAAGAUCACAGCUACCCAAAUUAGUGCAAGAUCAAUUAAAGAAAUGUUUAUUCACCAAUCUAAUAAUCACCAUGCUCACGUACUAGACAUAAAAAUCAACAUCCACUACUCAUCUUUGACCAUCUCCUCAAGAUCCCAAUAACCAGACUAAAUCCCACGCAUCUUUGACUAUCUCCUCAAGAUCCCAAUAACCAGACUAAAUCCAGGAAAUAUAUCAUAUUCCACCAAGAAAUUUGAUUCAAAAUCAUAAUCACCAAACUAAAUCCAAAUGGUUCCACUUAAUUAAAGAUUUGUUUAUCCACCAAUAUAACAAUCACUAUGCUCACUAAUUAGACCUAAAAUCUCAUAAUCCACCGAACAUCUUCAAGUAUCUUUUCAAGAACACAAUCACCUAACUAGAUCCACCUAAAAUCUCAUAAUCCAUCGUGAAAUUUGGUUCAAAAUCAUAUUCACAUAACUAACAAAUCAAUGUAAGAUUAUUUAAAUACAUGUUUAUCCACCAAACUAAUAAUCACCACGGUCACCGACUAUACCUAGAAACUCAUAAUGCACCAAAAAAAUUGUUUGUCUCCUCAAGAUCACAAUCACCAAAGUAUAUUCAACCACAAUUGCCUAACUAAGAAAUUUUUGUAAGAUUAAUCAAAUAUAUGUUUAUCCACCAAUCUAAUAAUCACCACGGUCACCUACUAGACCUAAAAUCUCAUAUCCACCGAAAAUCUUUGACUAUCUCCUCAAGAUAACAAUCAUCAAAGUAUAUUCAACCAAAAUCUCAAAAUUCACCAUGAAAUUCGAUUCAAGAUCACAAUCACCUAACUAAAUAGAAAUUGUUCCAAGAUUAAUUAAAAAUGUGUUUAUCCACCAACAUAAUAAUCACAUGCUCACUUACUAAACAUAAAAUCUCAUAAUAUCCUUGACUAUCUCCUCAAUAUCACAAUCACCAAACUAAAACCACAUAAAAAUCUUUCUUAGGUGUUGCUAAUGAUUUUCCUCCGAGGGGGAAUAGACAACAAGAAACUUGUCGAAGAACUCACAAACAUGUUAUUCAUGAUGUUCAUCAAAUAGCUAGGUGGGCAAGGAUUAGGUCAACGGCCACAUCCAUCACAUACAACUCUGUCGUCGCGAUUCGACCAAGUCAUGGAUUGGUGAGACUUAAGGUGCAUAGGGUUUGCGUGUGAGGGUAAAAGUUCACCCUAACGCACUUAAACACCAUUUCUCUGAGACCAACUAUUAAGAGGCCCACAUGGCACAACUCAGACAAGGUUAUCACAUACCAUCAAAAUCGCCAUCUCUUUGAAUUAAUCCAAAUCAUCCUCCUAUGGUAUUUGUACUGAUAACAUUCUUUGGGGGGAACAACAAAAUCACCUAGGUCUAACAACUCCGAUCCACAUGUANNNNNNNNNNNNNNNNNNNNNNNNNNNNNNNNNNNNNNNNNNNNNNNNNNNNNNNNNNNNNNNNNNNNNNNNNNNNNNNNNNNNNNNNNNNNNNNNNNNNGGUUACGCACACAGUUGGCAUAUUUUAAUUAAGUUAACUUCAAGUUAUAUAGAACCGGUGUUAAACAAAGUUUCCACGUUGCCACAUAACCGCGGGCACGGCUUUCCGAAAAUAUUUCACCCUGCAGGGGUGCUCCAACUAGUCCAUCACAAAUUACCACAAGCCGCAUAGAAAUCCUCAAUCACGAAGCUCGCGAUCUCGUCAGAUUCCCUAGUGGAAAACCUCAACUCUGAGAUUACCCAAAGCAUCACCGGAAUCCCGAUGAACAAGAUAUCUCGUCAAAGGUAAAACUAAUCCAGCAAGGCCGCCCGACGUGUCGACGAUCCCGAUAGGAGCCGCGUAUCUCGUUCUCAGGACACGACGGAUGAGCUAGCCGCGUAUCAAGGGGGUCCCCAUAACAACCCUGAUCGUGUUAGGAGCGCUCAAUUAUGGAACAUAACACCGGUAGCCGAAACUAAGGGGGCAAAGGUGGAACAAAACACCAGGCUAGAAAGGCCGAGCCUUCCACCUUUUACCAAGUAUAUAGGUGCAUUAAAUUAAAUAGCAUUUAAUAGGGUGAUAUAACAAGGAACCCGUAUUUUCACAUGGAAGCAACUGCACCUGCAACUAGCAAUGCUAACACAAGGUUAAGCAAGCAGUAACAUAGCCAAUCAGUGGUUUGCUAGGUUGAACAGGUUGAGGGUUUUCAUGGCAUUGUUUGAGAGGCUGAUAUUUAAUAUGUGGAAGGCAACGAGACAUAAACGAAAGAAGCGAUAAACUAGCAUGGCAAUGAUAGUAAUGAUAUCUGGGGAAAUGGUCAUCUUGCCUGAGAUCCCGCUUAGAAGAAGAACAACUCCGAGAAGCACGUGAACCAACGUAGUCGAACGGGUCCUCACAUUCCAACACGCUUGCGGAACUCUAUCAAGAUGGAGCAAACCGGAAACAAGCAUCAACACAGAUAUUCACCACACGAUGCACAAUAUGAUGCACAACCUACUAUGAUGCAUGAACAGAUCAUUGAUGCAAGGCAUGGCAUGGCAAUUCACCUCACACAAACACUACACAUUAAGUGAAGCUCGAUAUGCAACGAGUUGCAUAUCGAUGAAACUCCACGAUUAAUUAUUUAGUUCACUCCCGAUUAUUUACACGACAAUAUUAAAUUGCUGUUAACAUGGCAAGGGGUGAAGCGGUGAUCCUACAUGUCCUCCUAGUCGAUAGCACGCGGGACUUAGAACGGACGCUACGGCACAAGAUACAUGCAACACAAGAUUAUAUGCCAUGAAUGCGACAUGCAUGCAAGAUACAACACCACGGGCAAGAAGAGAAAGAAACAUAUGUUGCCACGGCGAGCGAGAGGGAACCAUGGCAGCAAGACGGAAACGAAGCCACGACAACGUUCCUAUCCCGAUAACUGGUUGAGAUAUCGUGCCAACGUAUAGGAAGCAUGUGCGGGACAACCAAAUAAACAUGGGGUGAUCCCGCUACCGGGUUCCCAUGUGUCGAGGGCGCGACGAAAGAGAGACAACGUGCAACGGGCAAUUAUAGGCGCAAACAUAUGAUACAUCUCAUACAACACAUUUGCAUUCGGUACACGACACGUCUCAUCGGGUUACCUUCGAAGCGUGCAUAUCGGAGGGGGUCGGAUCGUAGCGGACGUCGUGGAAGUCGGACGUAGCGGACAUCUCGUCGACGGUAGUCGUUCGCUCGGCGUCGGUUCACGGGUCUUCGGUGUCGGUUCACGGUCUUCACAUCGGUAGUCGAACACGUUCCGGGGGUCGUUGAGGACGAAGUUGUACACGGCGAUCUUGUCGGUUCCACGACGGAGGGAAUGGCGCACGCGGUCUUCGGCGACAUAACCAGUGACAUCAAGCAGCAACACGACGCAAGCAGCACCAGCAGCAAGCAACGGGGACACAACAUCAACAUGCCACAAUCUAACAACAGCAACUAGCAACAACAAGCAUCUAUUAGUAAGCAAUAGCAAACAACUAAUUAGCAGCAACAAGCAAGCUAGCUAGCAGGGCAUCUAACAGCCACCUAGCAGCAACUACAGCUCUCGGCAACAGGCAACAGCAAGCAACGACAUAGCAACAUCAUGCAGCCUGGCAGCAACUAGCGUCGGCUAGCAUUAGCAGCAAAGCAGCUAGCAAAGCAUCAGGCAGCUAGCACGCAAGCAGUUAUAACCAGAGCAACAUCAAGGCACAGGCAAAGCGACAGGAGAAACUAGCAACCGGCAGCAGGAACAUCAACCGGCCAGCAUCAAACUACACAGGCACGUACAACAACUACCUAGCGGUGGCAGGGGAGAGCACAUGGCAGAGGAGGUCGGGGCGAGGGAGGCAGGCAUAGCUUCGGCAACACAGCAAGCCGGCGACGUGGGGAGGCGGAGCCCCGAGGAGAACGGCGGCAGCGGGGGCGCGCACCGGCGGCCGCGGGGCACGGGCGACAGGGAGAUGGAGGUGCCACGACGGGGCUGGCGGCGAGGUGGCGGAGAACAGUAGCGCGGCGGCCGCGGGACAGAGCAGCCGGCGAUGGCUCGCGAGCAGGGAGGUGGCGCAGCGCAGGGGGAUGCGAGAGGACAGGGGCAUGGCGAGGGCGAGGGGCGAGGGGACUCCGGCGGCGAGGGGGAUCUCCGGCGGCGAGGAAGAGGCACAGGGCAGCUCGGGACCUAGAGGGAGAAGGGGAUCGGCCGAGGGAGAAGGCUGUACGAGGGGAAUGCUCUGCGGGAGGAAGAGGAAUCGGGGGGGGGAAGAAACGAGAGGGAGAUGGGNNNNNNNNNNNNNNNNNNNNNNNNNNNNNNNNNNNNNNNNNNNNNNNNNNNNNNNNNNNNNNNNNNNNNNNNNNNNNNNNNNNNNNNNNNNNNNNNNNNNACAACUUCAACGCCCACUCAUUCUAGUUUCACCGUCUAGUACUUCUUCGUCAACCUCUUCAAAUGAGCCCCUAACCACAAAGAAGAUUACACGAGUUUAGUGUCCAAUGGCUGCUUCUUUUGGUUCUCCAUCGAUGGGUUUUGCUACCGAUUCCUUUGGUAACAAAAGACCACUUUUUACACAACCAGGUAUCUCAUGAACAUUCAACCUAUCUCGCUCUGUAGGGUGACAUUCAUCUUGAGUGGUUCAAGAUCACAGCUACCCAAAUUAGUGCAAGAUCAAUUAAAGAAAUGUUUAUUCACCAAUCUAAUAAUCACCAUGCUCAUGUACUAGACAUAAAAAUCAACAUCCACUACUCAUCUUUGACUAUCUCCUCAAGAGCCCAAUAACCAGACUAAAUCCACGUAAAAUAUCAUAACUCAGCUUUGACUAUCUCCUCAAGAUCCCAAUAACCAGACUAAAUCCACAUAAAAUAUCAUAAUCCACCGAGAAAUUUGAUUCAAAAUCAUAAUCACCAAACUAAAUCCAAAUUGUUCCACUUAAUUAAAGAUUUGUUUAUCCACCAAUGUAAUAAUCAUGAUGCUCACCUAUUAGACCUAAAAUCUUAUAAUCCACCGAACAUCAUUGACAAUCUUCUCAACAUCACAAUCACCUAGCUAAAUCCAUCUAAAAUCUCAUAAUCCACUAUGAAAUUUUGUUAAAAGAUCACAAUCACCUAGCUAAAUCCAAAUUGUUUAAAAUUGAUCGAAGAUUUGUUUAUCCACCAAUAUAAUAAUCACUAUGCUCACUAAUUAGACCUAAAAUCUCAUAAUCCACCGAACAUCUUCAAGUAUCUUUUCAAGAAGACAAUCACCUAACUAGAUCCACCUAAAAUCUCACAAUCCAUCGUGAAAUUUGGUUCAAAAUCAUAUUCACAUAACUAACAAAUCAAUGUAAGAUUAAUUAAAUAUAUGUUUAUCCACCAAACUAAUAAUCACCACGGUCACCGACUAUACCUAAAAACUCAUAAUGCACCAAAAACAUUGACUGUUUCCUCAAGAUCACAAUCACCAAAGUAUAUUCAACCACAGUUGCCUAACUAAGAAACUGUUGUGAGAUUAAUCAAAUAUAUGUUUAUCCACCAAUCUAAUAAUCACCACGGUCACCUACUAGACCUAAAAUCUCAUAUCCACCGAAAAAAUCUUUGACUAUCUCAAGAUCACAAUCAUCAAAGUAUAUUCAACCAAAAUCUCAAAAUUCACCAUGAAAUUCGAUUCAAGAUCACAAUCACCUAACUAAAUAGAAAUUGUUCCAAGAUUAAUUAAAAAUGUGUUUAUCCACCAACAUAAUAAUCACAUGCUCACUUACUAAACAUAAAAUCUCAUAACAUCCUUGACUAUCUCCUCAAUAUCACAAUCACCAAACUAAAACCACAUAAAAAUCUUUCUUAGGUGUUGCUAAUGAUUUUCCUCCGAGGGGGAAUAGACAAAGAGGUCAUCAAUGAUGACGAGAAACUUGUCGAAGAACUCACAAACAUGUUAUUCAUGAUGUUCAUCAAAUAGCUAGGCGGGCAAGGAUUAG
RNAcentral lists this long non-coding RNA (6039 nucleotides) under Hordeum vulgare. RNAcentral's name for it is "long non-coding RNA (HVUL_LNC011831)". The record is from RNAcentral. Lineage: Eukaryota; Viridiplantae; Streptophyta; Magnoliopsida; Poales; Poaceae.